AGCGAACGCUGGCGGCAGGCUUAACACAUGCAAGUCGAACGGGCAUCUUCGGAUGUCAGUGGCAGACGGGUGAGUAACACGUGGGAACGUACCCUUCGGUUCGGAAUAACUCAGGGAAACUUGAGCUAAUACCGGAUACGCCCUUUUGGGGAAAGGUUUACUGCCGAAGGAUCGGCCCGCGUCUGAUUAGCUUGUUGGUUGGGUAACGGCCUACCAAGGCGACGAUCAGUAGCUGGUCUGAGAGGAUGAUCAGCCACACUGGGACUGAGACACGGCCCAGACUCCUACGGGAGGCAGCAGUGGGGAAUAUUGGACAAUGGGCGCAAGCCUGAUCCAGCCAUGCCGCGUGAGUGAUGAAGGCCUUAGGGUUGUAAAGCUCUUUUGUCCGGGACGAUAAUGACGGUACCGGAAGAAUAAGCCCCGGCUAACUUCGUG
Molecule: ribosomal RNA, 435 nt
Filed under: uncultured bacterium
Lineage: Bacteria
Description: partial 16S ribosomal RNA
Rfam family: Bacterial small subunit ribosomal RNA
Source: RNAcentral